RNAcentral lists this transfer RNA (74 nucleotides) under Omnitrophica bacterium RIFCSPHIGHO2_02_FULL_63_14. RNAcentral describes it as "tRNA-Val". It matches the Rfam family "tRNA". From Rfam's summary of the family: Transfer RNA (tRNA) molecules are approximately 80 nucleotides in length. Their secondary structure includes four short double-helical elements and three loops (D, anti-codon, and T loops). Lineage: Bacteria; Pseudomonadati; Candidatus Omnitrophota. The record is from RNAcentral.
GGGUGCGUAGCUCAGCCGGUUAGAGCGCUUCGUUCACAUCGAAGAGGUCGCUGGUUCGAUCCCAGCCGUACCCA